UGGGGGACUACGGUAGAGCAGACCUAGUACUGUACACUUGCAGUGCAAAAUGUGUAGGCUGUUAGUCUUCUAUCUCUAUCUAACUGUCACUCUCCCCCCAGCCCACCAGUGAGGAAGACCUGUGUCCUAUCUGCUAUGCACACUCCAUCUCUGCUGUCUUCAAACCCUGUUCUCACAAGUCCUGCAAAGCUUGUAUAAAUCAGCACCUGAUGAACAACAAGGACUGUUUCUUCUGCAAGGCCACCAUCACUGGAGUGGAGGACUACAGCAAGAAGCCUACUGCAUCUUAACACCACACACACACGCACACGCACACGCACACACACACACACACACGGCUCGGACAACAGAAACCACAUUGAACACACACAGAGCAUACAGGUACACACACACACACACUACCACUCACUUUGCCCCCUGACAGCUUAGAAACUCUCCAUAUUGAUCACCAGGCCAGAAAACAGGAACAGUCACUUCUACUCCACAAGCAGUGUUAAUCCGACAGCUCCCCAGAUAAGUCCCAUGUCUCUCCCCCUUCGCCUGUUAAAUGAUUCCCAUGUCUC
Long non-coding RNA from Oncorhynchus keta (chum salmon), 563 nucleotides. RefSeq lists it as uncharacterized. The record is from RefSeq and is a predicted model, not a curated record. The transcript has 2 exons. NCBI's taxonomy places the organism in Eukaryota, Metazoa, Chordata, Actinopteri, Salmoniformes, Salmonidae.